AAAUUGUCGGCCAUGUUCUCUUUCUCUCUCUCUCGCUCAAAACAGACGCACGCUUCGGUUCUCUCUCUCCCGAUCCGUCUCCAGCCGAGGCGGGCGCCGCCGCCGCUGCCGGCGCGGCCGUGCCUGGCAGAGGGCGGCACACCUUGCCGUCUCACUCUCCUCUCUCUCUCAAGGAGCUGCUCGCCCCUUCCUCUCCAGCCUGCUCGCUCGGCGCUCGAUCAGCCCUCCUUCUCCGGCCGCCUUCUCCGGUCAGCGUCGACUGCCGACGCGUCGAACCCCGGCGACGUCCUCUAUCU
This 296-nucleotide long non-coding RNA is filed under the name Salvia miltiorrhiza (redroot sage). RNAcentral's name for it is "long non-coding RNA (SMIL_LNC004065)". The record is from RNAcentral. Lineage: Eukaryota; Viridiplantae; Streptophyta; Magnoliopsida; Lamiales; Lamiaceae.